Molecule: ribosomal RNA, 497 nt
Filed under: uncultured bacterium
Lineage: Bacteria
Description: partial 16S ribosomal RNA
Rfam family: Bacterial small subunit ribosomal RNA
Source: RNAcentral
GACGAACGCUGGCGGCGUGCCUAAUACAUGCAAGUUGAGCGCUGAAGGUUGGUACUUGUACCAACUGGAUGAGCAGCGAACGGGUGAGUAACGCGUGGGGAAUCUGCCUUUGAGCGGGGGACAACAUUUGGAAACGAAUGCUAAUACCGCAUAAAAACUUUAAACACAAGUUUUAAGUUUGAAAGAUGCAAUUGCAUCACUCAAAGAUGAUCCCGCGUUGUAUUAGCUAGUUGGUGAGGUAAAGGCUCACCAAGGCGAUGAUACAUAGCCGACCUGAGAGGGUGAUCGGCCACAUUGGGACUGUGACACGGCCCAAACUCCUACGGGAGGCAGCAGUAGGGAUUCUUCGGCCAUGGACGAAAGUCUGACCGAGCAACGCCGCGUGAGUGAAGAAGGUUUUCGGAUCGUAAAACUCUGUUGUUAGAGAAGAACGUUGGUGAGAGUGGAAAGCUCAUCAAGUGACGGUAACUACCCAGAAAGGGACGGCUAACUACGUG